CGUGUAGGCGGCUUUGUACGUCCGUCGCUGAAAGCCCCCGGCUCAACCGGGGAAGUGGCGUGGAUACGGCAAGGCUCGAGGGACGUAGGGGGGGCUGGAACUUCCGGUGGAGCGGUGAAAUGCGUUGAGAUCGGAAGGAACGCCCGUGGCGAAAGCGAGCCCCUGGACGUCAACUGACGCUGAGACGCGAAAGCUAGGGGAGCGAACGGGAUUAGAUACCCCGGUAGUCCUAGCCGUAAACGAUGAGCACUGGGUAGGGGCUCGCCGAUGGGCUCCCUGCCGCAGGGAAACCGUGAAGUGCUCCGCCUGGGGAGUAUGGUCGCAAGGCUGAA
Molecule: ribosomal RNA, 332 nt
Filed under: uncultured bacterium
Lineage: Bacteria
Description: bacterial SSU rRNA
Rfam family: Bacterial small subunit ribosomal RNA
Source: RNAcentral